This 224-nucleotide long non-coding RNA is filed under the name Selaginella moellendorffii. RNAcentral describes it as "long non-coding RNA (SMOE_LNC001527)". The record is from RNAcentral. Lineage: Eukaryota; Viridiplantae; Streptophyta; Lycopodiopsida; Selaginellales; Selaginellaceae.
UCUGGAGCUCGCCUUGCGCAUUCUCACCCCCCUCUCUCGGGGGCCUAAACUGUUCCUCUCGAUUCCAAGUCAACGGGAGCUUGGAGCUCGUCGUGAUGGAGGAGGUGGUGUGGAGCACAAGCACAGAUGGGAGAAAUGCGAGCUUUGCGAGGCUCAGCGAUGGUGGAGAGCUCUCACUUGUGACGUCCUCUAACCAGGUUGUAUGGACGAGUAACGAUGUGCCA